GAUGAACGCUGACAGAAUGCUUAACACAUGCAAGUCGAUGGGGAAGUGGUGCUUGCACCAUGGCAACCAUGGCGGACGGGUGAGUAACGCGUAAGGGACUUACCUGCAGGACUGGGAUAACAGGGGGAAACUCCUGACAAGACCGGAUAAUGUCAUGGAGCUGCAUGGCCUUAUGAUGAAAGGAGACGCCUGCGGAGAGCCUUGCGUCCUAUUAGCUAGUUGGUGAGGUAAUGGCUCACCAAGGCGAAGAUAGGUAGCCGGCCUGAGAGGGUGGACGGCCACAAGGGGACUGAGAUACGGCCCUUACUCCUACGGGAGGCAGCAGUGGGGAAUAUUGGACAAUGGGGGCAACCCUGAUCCAGCAAUUCUGUGUGCACGAAGAAGGUUUUCGGAUUGUAAAGUGCUUUCAGCAGGGAAGAAGUAAGUGACGGUACCUGCAGAAGAAGCGACGGCUAAAUACGUG
This 463-nucleotide ribosomal RNA is filed under the name uncultured bacterium. Its description in RNAcentral is "partial 16S ribosomal RNA". It matches the Rfam family "Bacterial small subunit ribosomal RNA", at positions 28 to 507 of the family's 1533-position model. The record is from RNAcentral.